This 76-nucleotide transfer RNA is filed under the name Betaproteobacteria bacterium. RNAcentral describes it as "tRNA-Arg". It matches the Rfam family "tRNA". From Rfam's summary of the family: Transfer RNA (tRNA) molecules are approximately 80 nucleotides in length. Their secondary structure includes four short double-helical elements and three loops (D, anti-codon, and T loops). Lineage: Bacteria; Pseudomonadati; Pseudomonadota; Betaproteobacteria. The record is from RNAcentral.
GCGCCCGUAGCUCAAUGGAUAGAGUGCUGGCCUCCGAAGCCAGAGGUUGUGGGUUCGAUCCCCGCCGGGCGCGCCA